UACGGAGGGGGCAAACGUUGCUCGGAAUUACUGGGCGUAAAGCGCAUGUAGGCGGACGUGCAAGUCAGGUGUGAAAUCCCCGGGCUCAACCCGGGAAUUGCACUUGAAACUGCUCGUCUUGAGUACCGGAGAGGAGAGUGGAAUUCCUGGUGUAGAGGUGAAAUUCGUAGAUAUCAGGAGGAACACCGGUGGCGAAGGCGGCUAUCUGGACGGUAACUGACGCUGAGAUGCGAAAGCGUGGGGAGCAAACAGG
Molecule: ribosomal RNA, 253 nt
Filed under: uncultured bacterium
Lineage: Bacteria
Description: partial 16S ribosomal RNA
Rfam family: Bacterial small subunit ribosomal RNA
Source: RNAcentral